This 301-nucleotide ribosomal RNA is filed under the name uncultured bacterium. Its description in RNAcentral is "partial 16S ribosomal RNA". It matches the Rfam family "Bacterial small subunit ribosomal RNA", at positions 509 to 809 of the family's 1533-position model. The record is from RNAcentral.
CAGCCGCCACGGGAAUACGUAGGGUGCAAGCGUUAAUCGGAAUUACUGGGCGUAAAGCGUGCGCAGGCGGUUAUAUAAGACAGAUGUGAAAUCCCCGGGCUCAACCUGGGAACUGCAUUUGUGACUGUAUAGCUAGAGUACGGCAGAGGGGGAUGGAAUUCCGCGUGUAGCAGUGAAAUGCGUAGAUAUGCGGAGGAACACCGAUGGCGAAGGCAAUCCCCUGGACCUGUACUGACGCUCAUGCACGAAAGCGUGGGGAGCAAACAGGAUUAGAGACCCCCGUAGUCCUGUCUCUUAUACA